This is a small nuclear RNA of 164 nucleotides. Its record names the gene U4. It matches the Rfam family "U4 spliceosomal RNA". From Rfam's summary of the family: U4 small nuclear RNA (U4 snRNA) is a component of the major U2-dependent spliceosome. The structure of U4 snRNA from yeast and human has been reported. The record is from Ensembl.
AGCUUUGCGCAGUGGCAGUAUCAUAGCCAAUGAGGUUUAUCCGAGGCGCGAUUAUUGCUAAUUAAAGUUUGUCUAUUAGAUUCUUAAAUACCCUUUCGGCCAAAUAUAGAAAUUGAAAGGUGAGAAAAAUAAGACUAAGAAAUCUUUCAAUAUUGUUCAUAUUG